RNAcentral lists this small RNA (711 nucleotides) under Pan troglodytes (chimpanzee). Its description in RNAcentral is "retained intron". The record is from RNAcentral. Lineage: Eukaryota; Metazoa; Chordata; Mammalia; Primates; Hominidae.
CGCCGGAAUCCCAGCUCCACUUACCAGGCCGCGGCUACCCUGCCGUCCCCCCCGACUCCCGCCACCCCGCUCUCCCAGGCUCUUCAGGAUCCAAGUCUGUAGGCCCUUUAAGGGGUCUAAUUGCCGUUUGCGGGGCCCUGGGACUUUGAUCCCAGACAGCGAGGAUCCGGAUGGCUUCCGUGCGGAUCCGAGAGGCCAAGGAGGGAGACUGUGGAGAUAUCCUGAGGCUGAUUCGGGUGAAGACUGCGGGCCGGAAACCCGGGGGUCAGAGUGGCGCGGCCAGAGCGGGGUCGUAGGAGGCGGGGGCAGGGGGAGGGGCUCGCCUUGGGAACCUGCUCCGGGAGCAGCGGGGCCCUUCUGCUCUAAUCUAGCUUCCGUACCCACGCCUUAGGAGCUAGCCGAAUUCGAAAAACUCUCGGAUCAGGUGAAGAUCAGUGAAGAAGCCCUGAGAGCAGAUGGCUUUGGAGACAAUCCUUUCUAUCACUGUUUGGUAGCAGAGAUUCUUCCAGCGCCCGGGAAGCUACUGGGUAAGAGCACCUGGCCCUUAGAAGUCCCCCACUCCAGCCGGCCUCAGAGGUCUCCCCACAGGCUCCCAGAAGCCUUACUCCCCUUUUCUCUCUCUCAGGGCCCUGCGUGGUGGGCUAUGGGAUAUACUAUUUCAUCUACAGUACAUGGAAGGGACGCACCAUUUAUCUGGAGGAUGUCUAUGUG